Lontra canadensis (Northern American river otter) is the source of this 1088-nucleotide long non-coding RNA. RefSeq lists it as uncharacterized. The record is from RefSeq and is a predicted model, not a curated record. The transcript has 3 exons. NCBI's taxonomy places the organism in Eukaryota, Metazoa, Chordata, Mammalia, Carnivora, Mustelidae.
UUCCAAGACUAGGUCAUAAAAGCCAUUGCAGCUUCCUCCCUGUCUGCCCUCAUGAAUUGUGGGCUGCUUACUGUGGGGGAAACUAGCUACUAUUCCAUAAGAACACUCAAAGAGCCCUAUGGAGAGGACCUAUCUCAUGGCAAGGAAGUGUGGAUUCCUGCCAACUGCCACUGAAGAGCUAAGGCCUUCCAGCAAAUAACCACUGAGUGAGCCAAAUUGGGAGUGAAUCUUCCAGCACCAAUGAAUCCUCAAAAUGACUACAGCCCCAGCUGACAUCUUGAAUGCCACCUCAUAAGAGAUCCUGACCUGGAGCCAUCCUGCCAAGCUGCUCCCAGAUUCCUGACUCUCAGAAACCAUAUUAUAGGCUAAUCGUCACCUCUACAUGUUGAAGGAAUAGAUUGUUUGGCAUGGCACUGAUCACUAUGUGUAUUAACGGGAAAGUUUAUCCCCAGGAGAAAAGAAAAAACCAGCUGUGUGAAUGGAACUUGGAGAAAGGGCACAACCAUCAGACGAAGUGGGAGGAAGAAACAUUAACUUCAACAGCUGUUUCUUGACCCCGGCUGUCAGUCUUCCCAAGAAUAAAUUUUGGAGAGUCCUAUUUGAAACAAAGAGGGAGUUUUUAAGGAGAGAAAAGUUGGUUGGUUCCAGGGAGGCCGCCCAAAGAAGCAGGGAACAAGAUGUUUGCAGUUACCACGCAGCCUGCAAGCCUCUGCCGGGUGCAGGGAUGGAGCAAAGUAACUUGAAAGCUCCCCUCUCGGCGCCCUGUGCCUACAGCUUCCCCCCCUAACGUGCGCCCAGAUCCAGCGCCGGUGGUAAGAGCCGUAGCUCGACUACAGUAAUUCCCCAGCUCGGGCGGCUUGAAACUGCUCGGGCUGAAUAGCAUUUGCUGUUCCGUCCUGCGGCCGCCUCCCGCCGCCGCUGCCGCGCUCCCUGCAAAGCAGCUCUCAUUAUCCCGGAAGUUGUGCUGACACAGUCUCGCUGCCACCAGAAGUUUGUCAACAUCAAACUUCUCCUGUGUGGGGUACGUUCACCUUCCACGAGUAUUUAAUCGAGCCAACAAGCAAACAAACAAACCCAAAUAAACCUGC